Molecule: ribosomal RNA, 497 nt
Filed under: uncultured bacterium
Lineage: Bacteria
Description: partial 16S ribosomal RNA
Rfam family: Bacterial small subunit ribosomal RNA
Source: RNAcentral
GAUGAACGCUGGCGGCGUGCCUAAUACAUGCAAGUCGAGCGAACGGACGAGAAGCUUGCUUCUCUGAUGUUAGCGGCGGACGGGUGAGUAACACGUGGAUAACCUACCUAUAAGACUGGGAUAACUUCGGGAAACCGGAGCUAAUACCGGAUAAUAUUUUGAACCGCAUGGUUCAAAAGUGAAAGACGGUCUUGCUGUCACUUAUAGAUGGAUCCGCGCUGCAUUAGCUAGUUGGUAAGGUAACGGCUUACAAAGGCAACGAUGCAUAGCCGACCUGAGAGGGUGAUCGGCCACACUGGAACUGAGACACAGUCCAGACUCCUACGGAAGGCAGCAGUAGGGAAUCUGCCGCAAUGGGCGAAAGCCUGACGGAGCAACGCCGCGUGAGUGAUGAAGGUCUUCGGAUCGUAAACCUCUUUUAUUAGGGAAGAACAUAUGUGUAAGUAAGUGUGCACAUCUUGACGGUACCUAAUCAGAAAGCCACGGCUAACUACGUG